Long non-coding RNA from Pocillopora damicornis (cauliflower coral), 778 nucleotides. The record is from RefSeq and is a predicted model, not a curated record. NCBI's taxonomy places the organism in Eukaryota, Metazoa, Cnidaria, Anthozoa, Scleractinia, Pocilloporidae.
CAGCCCCACUCCUCCCCAAUUAUCUUUGCAUGAGAAGCAAUCACUCACUGGCGGCCAUGUUGGCUACGGCUUCAAAACCUAAAAUAUUCUUGUGUGGGUAAUGUCGCCCAGCUUUUGCAUACGUGAGCUAACCUGUUCUCCUUUCUCAGUUUACAGGCUUGCAAAUUAUUUUACAACGUUAUUAGCCACUUUGUUCACAGGCGGGAUGAACACUUCUCGUGCAGCAUUUGCAAACGAGAAGUCCAAGAGGAGCACCGAUUUGGCAAUUGAAAACUCCCUGCAUAGAAAUGUUGAAUAAGCCGAAAAUUGCACUCAAAGAUGUCCUCACGAACUCAAUUCCACUGCAAGAUUCAGAGGAAAACGGUUGAAAAAAUGCUGAAAUCACACUGAUGGGAAAAUAACGACACAGAGAACCAGUAUGAGCCUAUCAAAAUAAGAUGGCUGAUGAAGGGAGGAAAAUGAAGUGGAUUUCAGUCUCAAGUGCAAGGAUUUCAGGAAGUUUUUCGGGUGUUUGACUUUGGACAAGAGAUGGGUGAUUAAGGAUUGACCCACCAUGGAGUUGGUAUCGCCCAAAAGAAUCUCAGAAAAGGUCCCAUGAAGGUCACAUGUUUAGAAAGGUCAUGGUAAACGCGUGUUGAGCUUAACUACGGUUGAACAGAAACUUGUUAAUGAGAUUUCAUAAAGAAUGACUACCGCAAGAAACCAGACUAAACUAGUCAACCUUCCAUAGGAAGCAUAAAUUGAGGUCGUUCUGUCACUCCCGGCAGGCAGUUCUCUA